Molecule: ribosomal RNA, 518 nt
Filed under: Escherichia coli
Lineage: Bacteria; Pseudomonadati; Pseudomonadota; Gammaproteobacteria; Enterobacterales; Enterobacteriaceae
Also listed under: 1 other name
Description: partial 23S ribosomal RNA
Rfam family: Bacterial large subunit ribosomal RNA
Source: RNAcentral
GAAGGUGUGCUGUGAGGCAUGCUGGAGGUAUCAGAAGUGCGAAUGCUGACAUAAGUAACGAUAAAGCGGGUGAAAAGCCCGCUCGCCGGAAGACCAAGGGUUCCUGUCCAACGUUAAUCGGGGCAGGGUGAGUCGACCCCUAAGGCGAGGCCGAAAGGCGUAGUCGAUGGGAAACAGGUUAAUAUUCCUGUACUUGGUGUUACUGCGAAGGGGGGACGGAGAAGGCUAUGUUGGCCGGGCGACGGUUGUCCCGGUUUAAGCGUGUAGGCUGGUUUUCCAGGCAAAUCCGGAAAAUCAAGGCUGAGGCGUGAUGACGAGGCACUACGGUGCUGAAGCAACAAAUGCCCUGCUUCCAGGAAAAGCCUCUAAGCAUCAGGUAACAUCAAAUCGUACCCCAAACCGACACAGGUGGUCAGGUAGAGAAUACCAAGGCGCUUGAGAGAACUCGGGUGAAGGAACUAGGCAAAAUGGUGCCGUAACUUCGGGAGAAGGCACGCUGAUAUGUAGGUGAAGUCCCU